UUUCACUAGACAGAAGAGAUUAAGUGACGUGGAAACCCAUCUUAUUUUUUACUAUCGCGGAACAUGAAUGAAUUAGUGGCGCUGGAAAAGAAUGCAAGAUACCGAACCUGCUGUUGUAGUUAAUGACAGGGAACGUGGACAACACAUAGGGCUAAAUCGAAGCUUACAGACUGCAAGUAUUGAACCGGGUUUAUCAUCAGCCUAGUAGGCACGAGGGAAAGCUUGACCACCCAUGAGGAGAAAAGGAGGAGAAAGACUCAGAGGAGGGCAGCUGUGGGCAGAUGCACCCUAUGUUCCAGCGAGGAGAAGAACCUGCUGCAGUGUAAAAGACUUAAGAAGAAGCAGAGACAUCAGAGGGAAGCAGACACAGAUUUGCCAUGUGAGAAUUAUGGAGAAUGAAGGGGCUUUCCAUUAGACCUCCACCCCUAAAAGUGGCUGACC
Rhincodon typus (whale shark) is the source of this 441-nucleotide long non-coding RNA. RefSeq lists it as uncharacterized. The record is from RefSeq and is a predicted model, not a curated record. The transcript is spliced from 3 exons. Lineage: Eukaryota; Metazoa; Chordata; Chondrichthyes; Orectolobiformes; Rhincodontidae.